ACAGAACAGAACUUUCCACAGUAUCCUGAUGUCAAUGCGAGUGUGUUCCCUGCAUUUUCAUUCUGGAAAACCAGCAAAUGAAAUGUACACCUCGCAUCCGGAUUGGGCACCAUCACUACACUUGGGCCACACUGAGAUAAAGGCCACACAGACUGCACGCUAUGAGAGACAGGAAAAGAGAAAACGGCAAAGGACUGACAGUACACCUGCGAGGAUGAGACAGCUAUUGAUGACCUUGUUCCACCCGUGGAGACACCAGCACCAGCUGAGGAUGGAGCUGAGCAGACACCGCUGACAGAAUGUGACUUCUGUCAGCGCCGGCGUGCUGAAAUCAACCGGCUGCUGGAGGAGAACAGGACCCUGAAACGUCUUGCACUCUCAGCGCAUUAAUGAGACUCCCCUGAAGCCAUGGGUCAUCAUUGCUGACGAUGGGCAGGUUUGCUGUGCACACUGUACAUGCAUGGCUGGAAUUGCAGAGGCAUGUACACAUGUUGGGGCUCUGCUGUUUAAGAUUGAGGCAGCAGUCCGCAUCCGUGGGAAAAAGACUGUGACAGAUGUGCCAGCUUAUUGGAAAAUACCAGCAGGUAUCAACAAAGUCAGCGGUGAAGUCGCCCACAAGAUGGACUUCACUUCAUCCAAAGUGCAGAGGAUUGCUCUGGACAGAGUCAUCGAUGACAACAUUCCCAUGCCUGGCCUACGGACACGGGCCAGCAGACGCACUGCCCAAGCCACAUUGGACGACUUAUCGUCAAUGUUCCCUGUUCUUCAGAACCAUAGGUCAGUUUGUAUGUCCACAGUGAAGCCCUACUUUCACAACUAUGCUGCUCCUGUCCAGCCAGCUGUGAUCCCAAAACCCCUGCAAGACCGUCUGCGCGACCCAAAGUUGGAAAAUGCUCCACCAGCUGUCCUU
Long non-coding RNA from Cyprinodon tularosa, 910 nucleotides. RefSeq lists it as uncharacterized. The transcript has 4 exons. The record is from RefSeq and is a predicted model, not a curated record. Lineage: Eukaryota; Metazoa; Chordata; Actinopteri; Cyprinodontiformes; Cyprinodontidae.